RNAcentral lists this transfer RNA (67 nucleotides) under Gigantolina magna. Its description in RNAcentral is "tRNA-Ala". Lineage: Eukaryota; Metazoa; Platyhelminthes; Cestoda; Amphilinidea; Amphilinidae. The record is from RNAcentral.
GACAUCAUAAUCUAAAAAAGAUUAUAGCUUUGCAUGCUUUUUAUAGGAAUUUAUUUCUUUGAUGUUA